GAUGAAGAACGUAGCGAAAUGCGAUAAGUAAUGUGAAUUGCAGAAUUCAGUGAAUCAUCGAGUCUUUGAACGCACAUUGCGCCCCCUGGUAUUCCGGGGGGCAUGCCUGUCCGAGCGUCAUUGCUGCCCUCAAGCCCGGCUUGUGUGUUGGGCCCCGUCCUCCGAUUCCGGGGGACGGGCCCGAAAGGCAGCGGCGGCACCGCGUCCGGUCCUCGAGCGUAUGGGGCUUUGUCACCCGCUCUGUAGGCCCGGCCGGCGCUUGCCGAUCAACCCAAAUUUUUAUCCAGGUUGACCUCGGAUCAGGUAGGGAUACCCGCUGAACUUAAGCAUAUCAAUAAGCGGAGGA
RNAcentral lists this unclassified non-coding RNA (346 nucleotides) under soil metagenome. RNAcentral's name for it is "partial contains 5.8S ribosomal RNA, internal transcribed spacer 2, and large subunit ribosomal RNA". The stretch from base 1 to 120 matches the Rfam family "5.8S ribosomal RNA", at positions 35 to 154 of the family's 154-position model. The record is from RNAcentral.